This is a long non-coding RNA of Oncorhynchus tshawytscha (Chinook salmon), 1719 nucleotides long. The record is from Ensembl. Lineage: Eukaryota; Metazoa; Chordata; Actinopteri; Salmoniformes; Salmonidae.
GCUAGUUGUGCUGCUGUGGGGCUUUCUAUGACCUCUCUCUCUGGGUCAGCUAGUUGUGCUGCUGUGGGGCUUUCUGUGACCUCUCUCUCUGGGACAGCUAGUUGUGCUGCUGUGGGGCUUUCUGUGGUGGUUGUUGUACUGAAGGCCUUCUGGACCACAAGAGGCUCAGGAUCAGUGUCGUCGUUGGGACCAGGACUCUCCUGAGUACCAGUAAUGUUGCUGGCUUUGACCAAGUCAUACUUCGAGGACGGCUCAACUGCCUUGUAUUCUGAAUCCUGUACAGACGCUUCAAUAUGGACCUGAACAGGGUGAGUGUCAGCCACUAUGACAGGAGUGUCUGUGAACUGGUCUGGGAUCAGUUUGACAGGGACAGUACCUUUGGUCUGGUGGUCUGAGACUGGGUUAGGUUUGGCCUCCUUGUCUGAAUCAGACAGGAAGUUGACUUCUCCUGGUCUGGUGUUUUGGUUUGUAUCUGUGUCCUGUCUUUUUCCCCCACCAACAGGGACUUUAACGACAGGCCUCGUGGUGUUGUCUCUCUCAACAUCCCCACUAUCCCAGUCUAAAAUGAAACCAUGGUGACUACGAGAUGGCAUAUUGACUUCUUCAUGACCACGGUUGAAACUAUAGUCCUCUACAGUCCUCUUCCCUUCUCCCUCCUCUGUGUCUGGUCUUUUCUCUCCGCCUAUUUCUCCACCUUUCCCUUUAUUGGUAACAUAGUUGCCAUCACCUGACUUCCUGUUCUCUCCCUGACGCAAACCUCCCGGGGUCCUCUCUGCUCCUUGCGUUACCCCCGGCAACAGUGGUGAAGUUGGGAGUAACGCUGUGUGUUCGUUGUCUGUUUCUAAACCUGGACUGGAUCCUGGCUUCUCCUGCCGAUCUUCAUGUUCUCUUUCUUGUUGCUGAGCAAAGAGUUUUGGGAGAAUCGCUGAAUCUGAUUGAAUAAGAGCUGCAUUUUCAGUCAAAUCAGGUACAGGGGAGUCUCUCUUGGCACAGGGUUCUGUUGGUACUGUUGCUGGCACAGGCAGCAUGGGGUAGAGACUUUGUUCUAACACAGAGGGAGAGGGUAAAUGGCUACAGUCUCCACUGGAACAUAACACGUCCUUAGACGACGCCGGAGGAGCCAGGGGGGGUCCCGGAGGAGCCAGGGGGGGCCCCGGAGGAGCCAGGGGGGGCCAAAUGAGGCCAGAGCCUGGGCUUCCACUGUUCUCGUCUCUCUGGUCCAGCUCAGACAAUAUUUGUGACUCUGUCUGUUUCUGUUCUGAAUGAUAUCUGGUCCCUCCGAUUUCCUGUCCUGUUGUUUGAUCAGUCUCAUUACUCUCUUGUUGUUUACUUGUCCGAUUCCCUUUUCCUUUCUGCUUGUCAUCCUCCUCCAUUUCCUGUCGUUUAUGAGAGAGAUUCUGAUCUCCCUUUUUGUCUUCGUCUUCCGUUUCAUUUUGUCUCCUCUCGUCCUUCCUCUUCCCCUUGUCUUUCUGUUUGUCUCCCCGUUUGUCCUCUGUGUUUACAUUACGAGGCCGGCUGCUGAUUGGCUGCUCAGCACUGGGUGUUGGGCUGUCAUCGUUAAUGACAUUUUUAACGGACACAGCACUACGGGAUAGAUUUACCCUGACAGGCUCUUCUACCUUGGGCUCAGCUCCAAUGUUAAAUGCAUGUAGGGGAAUGGUGUUAUCAGAUCCAGCUGUUGAUACUGUUGUAGCCUGAGAUGGUGAUUUAGAGACUGGG